GGACUUUCACUUUCGCUCCCGCAUCCCUAUAUUAGGGGUGUCGGGCUUGCUCGACUAUGGCGAUAAACGCCUUGCGGAAUAAGCGUUGCGGACCCGGGGGCGGUACCCGGCGCCUCCACCAUCAUGGGGGCGAAUCAGGAUCGACGUGCGUGGUAAAGGCAUGGUUUUCGCUCGGCAUGGUUCCGCCGUUAUCGGGCCGUUUCAUAGGUGCCAACGAUAAUUCGGCGCCUGCUCUUCGCAUGGCCGCCUAAUACCCUCAACGGGGUAUUAGCGGAAAGCUAAGAACGGGGUUCGGGGGGCACCCGGCAACAGAAGCCCCCCACU
Nitrospirillum amazonense is the source of this 324-nucleotide non-coding RNA. It matches the Rfam family "Alphaproteobacteria transfer-messenger RNA". Rfam says of the family: Bacterial tmRNA, also known as 10Sa RNA or SsrA, is named for its dual tRNA and mRNA-like properties. Its role is to liberate the mRNA from a stalled ribosome. To accomplish this part of the tmRNA is used as a reading frame that ends in a translation stop signal. The record is from Rfam. NCBI's taxonomy places the organism in Bacteria, Pseudomonadati, Pseudomonadota, Alphaproteobacteria, Rhodospirillales, Azospirillaceae.